CCCCAACAAAGCUCAAAUCAAACCUGAAAAUCCCAAUUUUCCAUUUUUGUUCCCUUUAACUUUCACCAUCAAAAAAGUUUCCCCUUAACUAUGUUUCUAUUAUUGGUUUAAAGGUCAGUUUUUUAUCACACUUUUUGGUCUUAUUUAUACAUAUAUGCGCUUGUUCUUCCUUAAUUUGAUAUGGGUAUUUGCUAAAAAGUUGUGAUUUUUGGUAUUUUCUAAAAAGUUGUGAUUUUUGGUAUUUGCUCAAAAAGUUG
This 257-nucleotide long non-coding RNA is filed under the name Nicotiana benthamiana. Its description in RNAcentral is "long non-coding RNA (NBEN_LNC028268)". The record is from RNAcentral. Lineage: Eukaryota; Viridiplantae; Streptophyta; Magnoliopsida; Solanales; Solanaceae.